This 17-nucleotide ribosomal RNA is filed under the name Wallemia sebi. RNAcentral describes it as "partial 28S ribosomal RNA". Lineage: Eukaryota; Fungi; Basidiomycota; Wallemiomycetes; Wallemiales; Wallemiaceae. The record is from RNAcentral.
AAUCGACCUCAAAUCAG